UACCUUUUGGUUCGGAAUAACAUCGGGAAACUGGUGCUNAUACCGGAUAAGCCUGUCACUCACUAACCUCAUGGAACAACUAUGUACUACGUGUAUGUGAUCCAGGAUCAGAAUGACCCGGAACGUUUUUAUUUAGGAUCGACACCCGAUCUUAAAAGAAGAUUAUCCGAGCACAAUCUGUGUGAUGGACAUUACACAAGCCACACAAAGUGGCGCAUCGUUUACUAUGAAGCUUAUAUGUCGCUGAAAGCAGCGCGCAGUCGAGAACGUUUCUUGAAAAAAGGAAAGGCUCGGUUGCUGCUGAUGAAGCGCAUUAAGGAUAGCCUCUUAAGUGAGGUUAGUGAGUGACAGGGAAAGAUUUAUCGCCGAAAGAUGGGCCCGCGUUGGAUUAGCUAGUUGGUGAGGUAACGGCCCACCAAGGCAACGAUCCAUAGCUGGUCUGAGAGGAUGAUCAGCCUCACUGGGACUGAGACACGGCCCAGACUCCUACGGGAGGCAGCAGUAGGGAAUAUUGGACAAUGGGGGCAACCCUGAUCCAGCCAUGCCGCGUGAAUGAUGAAGGCCUUCGGGUUGUAAAGUUCUUUUGGCGGGGACGAUGAUGACGGUACCCGCAGAAUAAGCUCCGGCUAACUUCGUGCCAGCAGCCGCGGUAAUACGAAGGGAGCUAGCGUUGUUCGGAAUUACUGGGCGUAAAGGGCGCGUAGGCGGUUUGACAAGUUGGAUGUGAAAGCCCUGGGCUCAACCCGGGAAUUGCAUUCAAGACUGUCUUGCUUGAAUUCGGUAGAGGUUGGUA
This 793-nucleotide ribosomal RNA is filed under the name uncultured bacterium. RNAcentral's name for it is "bacterial SSU rRNA". It matches the Rfam family "Bacterial small subunit ribosomal RNA", at positions 127 to 663 of the family's 1533-position model. The record is from RNAcentral.